This is a long non-coding RNA of Oxyura jamaicensis (ruddy duck), 449 nucleotides long. RefSeq lists it as uncharacterized. The record is from RefSeq and is a predicted model, not a curated record. NCBI's taxonomy places the organism in Eukaryota, Metazoa, Chordata, Aves, Anseriformes, Anatidae. The transcript is spliced from 3 exons.
GCCAUUCUUCCCCAAGGACUCACCGUCUUGGUCUGCAGUGGGUGAUGAUUUGCGGAACAAAUACUGCAAACUGAAGAUAGAUCUCAGCUCCUGAGGAGUAUAGUGGCAACCAAAAGCAUUGUUACUUUGCCAUGAACUCCAUGUAAGGCCAUGAACAAACUCCCUGUCACUUUGCUGUGGCUUUCCACUUACGAAAUGGAGGAUAAUUGUACUGCCUUGUCACCGAGAGGCUUGAGCCUGGUUGAGCCUGAUACCCGGUUGGUGAUGAUGAAGGACAACAAAAAUGCAGCCAUAUACUGUAUGCAGCACUGCCUAGCACUGCAGGCAUUGGUAGCGCUUUGGAGCCAUUAGGAGAAAUGCUGCAGUAUCCUCUCACCAUGGUAUGUUACAGCCAUGAAAUGCAGAAAGACUGCAGUAUUUGGAACUAAAAUCAUAAAUGCAGUAGUGUU